RNAcentral lists this ribosomal RNA (300 nucleotides) under Triticum aestivum (bread wheat). RNAcentral's name for it is "partial small subunit ribosomal RNA". The record is from RNAcentral. Lineage: Eukaryota; Viridiplantae; Streptophyta; Magnoliopsida; Poales; Poaceae.
AUGGUGCAAGAAUUUCCAGCAUGGGAGCACUCACACACAAAAGAUAUAACCUUCAUCCCUCCCAUCGCCCUCGUCUGCAGUUAUGAUCAUUGCGCCACUGAACAACCCUGGUGGUUGAAGACGGUGCUGGGAUUGCUCAUGGUGCCUCCCUUUCGUGGCAUGGUCCAUGCUGGCAGGGGACUCCCCGAGAAGGGUGGCAGCAGGCUUUCUGCCAUCACUGAAAUAUGCAUGCGUCACGUCCCUCUUGGGGGCGUCGUUGUGGUCUCAUUCCACCGUGCUAGGGCUAUGCUGGGAUCGUGA